ACCAAGGUUCGAUUCGGGCGCAGCGAGAAAGCGUUGCCGCAGGCAACGACCCGAAGGGCGAAGCGCGCAGCGCUGAGUCAUCCUUCCCCCACCACCA
RNAcentral lists this small RNA (97 nucleotides) under Salmonella enterica subsp. enterica serovar Bovismorbificans. Its description in RNAcentral is "partial RtT sRNA". It matches the Rfam family "RtT RNA", at positions 35 to 130 of the family's 130-position model. Rfam says of the family: This family represents a bacterial cis-regulatory element known as RtT RNA. The exact function of RtT is unknown although it is thought that it may be involved in changing the cellular response in relation to amino acid starvation. Lineage: Bacteria; Pseudomonadati; Pseudomonadota; Gammaproteobacteria; Enterobacterales; Enterobacteriaceae. The record is from RNAcentral.